CAUUUCGUUGACGGGGCAGGAAGCCAACCUCUUUUCCUUGAGUAAAAGGAAGCUUUAUAAGCGUAAUAGCAAAGCAAAAACAAUUAGAUAGAGUUCAUGUUAAAGCUACAGCUUGUUCCCUCUCCCUGGUUUAAAUAAAUCAACGAGCAGAAAAGCAUGCUGGGAACAAAAGGAGGAAGUGAAGUGGUUAGAAAAGAAUUUGCUGUGAAGGGCUGGUGUAGUUUUGGUUUUGGUUUGGUGAGGCAAAAAGGGUAAAGUUUCUGAAGAAGCUGAUGAAAAAUAUAAUAUUUGUAAUUUACCAUUUAUAAUCUAGUUUCUUUUUUUCCCCCUCUACAUAAAGCUGCACUUUCAAUAUUAGGGAUUUUCUCUCUAUAGCUGUAUUGUGAGUUAAAGUGAGCGGAGAUUUGCAGCUGUACUAGUAACAAAAUGCUUUGCGUACAGUAUUUUUCACCUACUGGUAUAGUACUUAAUGGUAGUCUGGAUUCUGAGUUCUUCUCUUUUUUUCCCUAGAAGCUGCCUUGUCUUUCUAAAGUGCUUUCUGCUGUGCUAUAGUCACCUAUGUGCAAUUCUUUGCAAAAAUUCACAGUGAAUCAUGCUUCAAACUCUACUUUUCUUCCUGCUCCAACAGAGAUUUGCUUUCUGCAUACACUGGGCUUCUGUUGCUGUUUCCUUUUUUCUCUCCUGUGCUCCGCCAACGUUGCUGAAAUGUUGCACCAGGCUUUGAGGGCUAGAAAGACGUAUCUUAACUUGCAUACAGAUGCAUGGUGGAAGCACAGCAAGGAGAUUUGAGGACACAACAAAACCAGGUUAACGAUAUAAUGGGGACAGCUGAAACAUAAAGUGGGCAAACACAGUGGAUACUGAUGAGCUCAGAUCCAGCUGGCAGCAAUAGCUGAAGGUUUCCUGGUGUUAACUCCUGAUGAAAAUGAGAAUCGCCUUCUACAGUUGAGGUUUUGAUGAUAUUUUGAAGCUCGACACAGGAGAGGUGCUCCAGCCCCUCUUUGUGGCACUCCUCUGGACUCACUCCAACAGCUCUGGAUUGAAUCCAACUCCUGGCUCUGCAAAGGACCACCCGAAAUUCAAAAUCUUUAUCUGAGAGCACUGUCCAAACACUCCUUGAACUCCAGCAGCUCGGUGCAUUGACCACUGCCAUCUGGUACAUUUUUUGGCCUUCUGGUUGUGAUAUCCCAUUGUUUAUGUGAUCAGAUAGCAACACUGCACAACAUCCUUCUCAGCCAUUUAUAUCAAAAUUGUCUCUCAUCACGGUUAGAAGAACUACAUAAAAGUCUGAAGUAUUUGCCUGGACUUGUGCUGUGCUUCUUGGACACUCACCUGAAGCUGCUGUGUAGGGGAAAGAAUAGACAUCUGCACAGAGGUCAACUGCAUCUGGUUUGCCUUGUGGAUGGACCCACAGCUCUCUAGUUGUAUAAGGAGAUGAGAUCAUGUAUUCCAAUUUUCCUACUAUGCAUCAGCAGGAAUGCAUUAAGGGAGCAAAGCAAGGUUAAAUCAGCUUGAUUUCAUCAGAUGUUUAAAGGAGGACUUAUACCUGGAUCUUGCAGAAAGCAUGUGAUGCUUUACAAACAGGAAAUGUUCUUCUCUGGGCCAGGAUGCAGCUGAAGCAGUGCAUUGUUACCUCAGAUAUGCUUAAUUCACAUCCAUACAACGCAGAUGUUCAGCACUAAGCCUGUCCAGUCACAAGGCAGCCUGGUUCCAACAGCACCAUACCUACUGCAGCAUGUGCUGAGCUCUACUUCACCCACCCAAUCAAUGCUGAGAAACAGGAAAGAAAUGUCAGAACUAAAGAAAAAUGACAAGUUGUAAAAAUGACAAGCGAUGGAUCCAGUUCUGUGGCUCCUCCGAUCUGAGUUUGGUGGCCCCUUCUGUGCAGUUUUCCAUUUGGGAAGAGCUGAAUUCCGCCUCAUUUCUGGCAGAAUUUAAUAUAAUGAACUUAACGUGGAUCUGAAGCAUCAGAAGGAUUGCAUCUUGUUAAAUAGGCUGCUCCCACUGUUCUUGUGGGUCAGGUUCCACAAGCCAUCACAUACCGGUUUAAUGAGAUUACUUAAAGAGGUACAAACGGAUAAACACUCUUGGUUAGAGUUUGUUUUUAUUUUAAUUGAAUUAAAGAAUAAUCCACUGAACAAGAACAGAAGCUCAGAAAUUGUUUGGUUUACUUUAGCUAGGGAUUAUUCUUAUUAGGAAUUCUAAAAUAAGGGAAAAUUAAUUCAAUAUAUCUGUUUUAUAGUCUCACCCCCUUUCUGCAGGCACCGAAGCCCAAAUUCGAUUUCUAACUCCCAGCUCUGGCUGAAUAUAGACAGUGUAAAUGUUCUUUUUUUUUUUUGUAUGUGUGUGUGUACCUGUGCAUUUGGAUUAAAACUAGAAACUGGGAGCUGUUAAAGCAUCUUGAACCACUCUGCUAGCAAGCCUUCACAGGCCAGGAACAAGGCAAAGGUUUACUUAAAAAUGUUCAUGAGAAGGGCUUCAUAUGCAAACUGAUUCUUCAUGCUCAGGAGAUCAGCUUCAGCCUUGGGGUUGGAUUGGGUCUUUUGGGUCUUGCAGGACUAAUUUGGAGCAUGAAAUAUUUGGCUAAACUUGAUGAUGAUUAGUGUAAAUAUUUUGCUAAAAAUGAUGCAACUUCAUCACAAAGCUAAUAGCUGAAAUACAGAUUGGCUUUGUUAUUUUAUUAUUUUAAUCAAAUGAUGCAAUUAAAUAAUCACUGAUGUAAUGCCAUAGGUUUCAGUGGAAUUAUUCCAAGCUAGAUCCAAUCUUGUAAUUUUUGAAAGAAAAUAAAUCUCUCAUUAUCUUCUCACAGAAAAGCAAUCUCUGAGUACAUAAUACUCCUUUUAGGUGAAAGGUAGAAUACAGACUAAAAUCUAUUAAACGAAUUUGGCAAAAGUGCCAUCUGGUCUACAGCAAUUUACAUUUGCAUGAGAAAAAAGCACAAAAUGUACCUAAACUGAACAGCAUUGGAUACCUGCUCUGAUCAAAGGUGAAGGCUUGAGGAAGGGUUAGAUUUCUCUCAGUAAUUGAAUCACAGAGAAAGGAAAGCCAUUAAAUUUGCAAAGGAGGCCAUUGAGGUUUGUUGCAUUUCCCUGACUCUUUCCAAGCCCAUUGAAUAAUCUCAGCAAUCUAAGUAUCUCUAAAGAUUUUGUCAAAGAGCAAAUGAAGGCCUUAUUGUGAAUUUUGCCUACAAGGGCAGCUUGUCUCUUUAGCUUUGUUCCUCUGGUUGUGAUUGAAAGCUGUGCAAAUAUCUACUGUCUGGUUCUUACAUGGAGAAAUUGAGGUUUUGCUCUUAGAAUCUGCAAAGGUUAUUGUGACAUUCAGUUUUUAUUGUUUUGGAAAAGACAGUGAGCUUGAAGAACUCCUUAAUUUUAUGGAAGGACUUCAUAGGGUAAUGAGAAGCAGUGGAGGUAUUUCACUGACUUUAGGAGGAGUGAAACCUGAUGACAUUUGUCUAGAAGUUGCCAUGUGCUAUAGAAGUGCCAUAGUGUUUCCAAUCAUGCACCGAAAUCUGGCAUUCUUACUUGCAUCUGAUAUAAGGGGUGCCUUUACAAUUCAAGUGUGGAGAUGUGCUUACUGGGUCCAGAAGCACAGGGGCUGUAUUUGUACUGUGCUUGAUAUGACUUAAAGGGUUCUGUUAUGGAAUCACACAACUGAGUUGCUACAGUCAUGCUGUUCUGGAUCCUAAGUCUAGAGUGGGCUGUGCUUUGCAGACUUGUUACCUUGACUUGUAAGUACCUUAUGGAUUUCAGCAUUGUUUUCCAUUUUAUAGAAUAAAUACCUGCCCAGUAGUUAGUCAUUUGUGGCAUGUGGCUGGUCACUCAUUUCAGCACAUGAUGUUUGAGCCUUAACGAGCAGAUGAUAGAACUGUGCUCACACAUAACAGAGCACCUGGCACCCGUCUGUACCCAAUAGCCAUAAGUCCUCAGGUAGCUCACAUUCUUCAAUAACUGCCCCAAAUCAAACCAGAAGCAUGAGAAGUCAGAGGAAAACAUAACUGUGGGAGAAAGAGAC
Non-coding RNA from Meleagris gallopavo (turkey), 4011 nucleotides. NCBI's taxonomy places the organism in Eukaryota, Metazoa, Chordata, Aves, Galliformes, Phasianidae. The record is from RefSeq and is a predicted model, not a curated record.